GGCUAGUCCAGAGUGCAGUUGGUAUUUACAGCUAACUGAUCACAACCAGUUACAGAUUGAUUCCUUGUUUUUCUCCACUCCCACUGUUCCCCUUAACUAGCCUUAA
This 106-nucleotide Y RNA is filed under the name Carlito syrichta (Philippine tarsier). RNAcentral describes it as "Y RNA (ENSTSYG00000023658.2)". It matches the Rfam family "Y RNA". Rfam says of the family: Y RNAs are components of the Ro ribonucleoprotein particle (Ro RNP), in association with Ro60 and La proteins. The Y RNAs and Ro60 and La proteins are well conserved, but the function of the Ro RNP is not known. Lineage: Eukaryota; Metazoa; Chordata; Mammalia; Primates; Tarsiidae. The record is from Rfam by way of RNAcentral.